Molecule: ribosomal RNA, 888 nt
Filed under: Lecanora solaris
Lineage: Eukaryota; Fungi; Ascomycota; Lecanoromycetes; Lecanorales; Lecanoraceae
Description: mitochondrial SSU rRNA
Rfam family: Bacterial small subunit ribosomal RNA
Source: RNAcentral
GUAUAGUAAUAGCUAAUUGCAUCAAUGUUUAAAUAAUUGAUGCAAUAUCGACUCUGUCGAAUAAAAUUCUAGGUAGAAUUAUGAUAAUGACAUUGUCUGCCUAUGUGUCUUGACCAAAUUACGUGCCAGCAGUCGCGGUAAUACGUAGAAGACUAGUGUUAUUCAUCUUUAAUAGGUUUAAAGGGUACCUAGACGGUAGAUCAAGCCUGCAAUAUGGGACUAAUGUACUAGAGUUACUUACGAGGGGGUUUUAAAGUACUGCUGGUGGAGAGAUGAAAUUCAGUCAUACCUUAUUUUGAAUAAAAUACUAUGGCACAGGUAUAGGCGAAAGCAUCCCCUUAUGUGAUAACUGACGUUGAAGGACGAAGGCUUUUGGUAGCGAACAGGAUUAGAUACCCCAAUAGUCAAAGCAGAAAAUGAUGAAUGUCAUAGAUUAGACAUAUAAUAGUUUAUUCUAUAAAUGAAAGUGUAAGCAUUCCACCUCAAGAGUAAUUUGGCAACAUUGGAACUGAAAUCAUUAGACCGUUUCUGAAACCAGUAGUGAAGUAUGUUGUUUAAUUUGAUAAUCCGCAAAAAACCUUACCACAAUUUGAAUAUUUAGAUUAUUAUUUUCUUUUAUUUUUUGUUGUAGAGCAAAAUUAACAAGAAGAAAAGAGAAAUCUAUUUACAAGCGUUGCACGGCUGUCUACAGUUAAUGUCGUGAGAUUCUGGUUAGUUCCAUUAAUUAACGUAAACCCUUACUUUAUUUUUAUAUAGAGUUGUUCCCCACUAGAUUGGAUAAGAUAACAGGGACUAAGACAAGUCAUCAUGGCCUGAAUAUUGUGGGCUAUAGACGUGCCACAUAAACCUUACAAAAGGAUGUGAAAUUGUGAAUUGAGCUAAUCCCCC